AACGAACGCUGGCGGCGUGGAUAAGACAUGCAAGUCGAACGAGAGAAUUGCUAGCUUGCUAAUAAUUCUCUAGUGGCGCACGGGUGAGUAACACGUGAGUAACCUGCCCCCGAGAGCGGGAUAGCCCUGGGAAACUGGGAUUAAUACCGCAUAGUAUCGAGAGAUUAAAGCAGCAAUGCGCUUGGGGAUGGGCUCGCGGCCUAUUAGUUAGUUGGUGAGGUAACGGCUCACCAAGGCGAUGACGGGUAGCCGGUCUGAGAGGAUGUCCGGCCACACUGGAACUGAGACACGGUCCAGACACCUACGGGUGGCAGCAGUCGAGAAUCAUUCACAAUGGGGGAAACCCUGAUGGUGCGACGCCGCGUGGGGGAAUGAAGGUCUUCGGAUUGUAAACCCCUGUCAUGUGGGAGCAAAUUAAAAAGAUAGUACCACAAGAGGAAGAGACGGCUAACUCUGUGCCAGCAGCCGCGGUAAUACAGAGGUCUCAAGCGUUGUUCGGAAUCACUGGGCGUAAAGCGUGCGUAGGCUGUUUCGUAAGUCGUGUGUGAAAGGCGCGGGCUCAACCCGCGGACGGCACAUGAUACUGCGAGACUAGAGUAAUGGAGGGGGAACCGGAAUUCUCGGUGUAGCAGUGAAAUGCGUAGAUAUCGAGAGGAACACUCGUGGCGAAGGCGGGUUCCUGGACAUUAACUGACGCUGAGGCACGAAGGCCAGGGGAGCGAAAGGGAUUAGAUACCCCUGUAGUCCUGGCAGUAAACGGUGCACGCUUGGUGUGCGGGGAAUCGACCCCCUGCGUGCCGGAGCUAACGCGUUAAGCGUGCCGCCUGGGGAGUACGGUCGCAAGAUUAAAACUCAAAGAAAUUGACGGGGACCCGCACAAGCGGUGGAGUAUGUGGCUUAAUUCGAUGCAACGCGAAGAACCUUACCUGGGCUUGACAUGUAAUGAACAACAUGUGAAAGCAUGCGACUCUUCGGAGGCGUUACACAGGUGCUGCAUGGCCGUCGUCAGCUCGUGUCGUGAGAUGUUUGGUUAAGUCCAGCAACGAGCGCAACCCCUGUUGCCAGUUACCAGCACGUGAAGGUGGGGACUCUGGCGAGACUGCCCAGAUCAACUGGGAGGAAGGUGGGGACGACGUCAGGUCAGUAUGGCCCUUAUGCCCAGGGCUGCACACGUACUACAAUGCCCAGUACAGAGGGGGCCGAAGCCGCGAGGCGGAGGAAAUCCUGAAAACUGGGCCCAGUUCGGACUGUAGGCUGCAACCCGCCUACACGAAGCCGGAAUCGCUAGUAAUGGCGCAUCAGCUACGGCGCCGUGAAUACGUUCCCGGGUCU
This 1332-nucleotide ribosomal RNA is filed under the name uncultured bacterium. RNAcentral's name for it is "bacterial SSU rRNA". It matches the Rfam family "Bacterial small subunit ribosomal RNA", at positions 28 to 1381 of the family's 1533-position model. The record is from RNAcentral.